This 253-nucleotide ribosomal RNA is filed under the name uncultured bacterium. Its description in RNAcentral is "partial 16S ribosomal RNA". It matches the Rfam family "Bacterial small subunit ribosomal RNA", at positions 524 to 776 of the family's 1533-position model. The record is from RNAcentral.
UACGUAGGGCGCGAGCGUUGUCCGGAAUUAUUGGGCGUAAAGAGCUCGUAGGCGGUCUGUCGCGUCGGCUGUGAAAACCCGAGGCUCAACCUCGGGCCUGCAGUCGAUACGGGCAAACUAGAGUACUGCAGGGGAGACUGGAAUUCCUGGUGUAGCGGUGAAAUGCGCAGAUAUCAGGAGGAACACCGGCGGCGAAGGCGGCCCUCUGGAUCGUUGCUGACGCUGAGACGCGAAAGCGUGGGGAGCAAACAGG